GCGUACACGGUGGAUGCCCUGGCAGUCAGAGGCGAUGAAGGGCGUACUAAUCUGCGAUAAGCGCCGGUAAGGUGAUAUGAACCGUUAUAACCGGCGAUACCCGAAUGGGGAAACCCAGUGUGAUUCGUCACACUAUCAUUAACUGAAUCCAUAGGUUAAUGAGGCGAACCGGGGGAACUGAAACAUCUAAGUACCCCGAGGAAAAGAAAUCAACCGAGAUUCCCCCAGUAGCGGCGAGCGAACGGGGAGGAGCCCAGAGCCUGAAUCAGCAUGUGUGUUAGUGGAAGCGUCUGGAAAGGCGCGCGAUACAGGGUGACAGCCCCGUACACAAAAGCGCAUGUGCUGUGAGCUCGAUGAGUAGGGCGGGACACGUGGUAUCCUGUCUGAAUAUGGGGGGACCAUCCUCCAAGGCUAAAUACUCCUGACUGACCGAUAGUGAACCAGUACCGUGAGGGAAAGGCGAAAAGAACCCCGGCGAGGGGAGUGAAAAAGAACCUGAAACCGUGUACGUACAAGCAGUGGGAGCACCCUUUGGGUGUGACUGCGUACCUUUUGUAUAAUGGGUCAGCGACUUAUAUUCUGUAGCAAGGUUAACCGAAUAGGGGAGCCGGAGGGAAACCGAGUCUUAACCGGGCGUUAAGUUGCAGGGUAUAGACCCGAAACCCGGUGAUCUAGCCAUGGGCAGGUUGAAGGUUGGGUAACACUAACUGGAGGACCGAACCGACUAAUGUUGAAAAAUUAGCGGAUGACCUGUGGCUGGGGGUGAAAGGCCAAUCAAACCGGGAGAUAGCUGGUUCUCCCCGAAAGCUAUUUAGGUAGCGCCUCGUGAAUUCAUCUCCGGGGGUAGAGCACUGUUUCGGCUAGGGGGCCAUCCCGGCUUACCAACCCGAUGCAAACUGCGAAUACCGGAGAAUGUUAUCACGGGAGACACACGGCGGGUGCUAACGUCCGUCGUGAAGAGGGAAACAACCCAGACCGCCAGCUAAGGUCCCAAAGUCAUGGUUAAGUGGGAAACGAUGUGGGAAGGCCCAGACAGCCAGGAUGUUGGCUUAGAAGCAGCCAUCAUUUAAAGAAAGCGUAAUAGCUCACUGGUCGAGUCGGCCUGCGCGGAAGAUGUAACGGGGCUAAACCAUGCACCGAAGCUGCGGCAGCGACACUGUGUGUUGUUGGGUAGGGGAGCGUUCUGUAAGCCUGUGAAGGUGUGUCGUGAGGC
RNAcentral lists this ribosomal RNA (1213 nucleotides) under Salmonella enterica subsp. enterica serovar Enteritidis. RNAcentral describes it as "partial 23S ribosomal RNA". It matches the Rfam family "Bacterial large subunit ribosomal RNA", at positions 15 to 1269 of the family's 2925-position model. The record is from RNAcentral. Lineage: Bacteria; Pseudomonadati; Pseudomonadota; Gammaproteobacteria; Enterobacterales; Enterobacteriaceae.